CCUACGGGAGGCAGCAGUGAGGAAUAUUGGUCAAUGGGCGCGAGCCUGAACCAGCCAAGUAGCGUGAAGGAUGACUGCCCUACGGGUUGUAAACCUCUUUUAUCAAGGAAUAAAGUGAGGCACGUGUCCCUUUUUGUAUGUACUUUAUGAAUAAGGAUCGGCUAACUCCGUGCCAGCAGCCGCGGUAAUACGGAGGAUCCGAGCGUUAUCCGGAUUUAUUGGGUUUAAAGGGUGCGUAGGUGGGUUGUUAAGUCAGUUGUGAAAGUUUGGGGCUCAACCGUAAAAUUGCAGUUGAUACUGGCAGCCUUGAGUACGGUUGAGGUAGGCGGAAUGCGUGGUGUAGCGGUGAAAUGCUUAGAUAUCACGAAGAACCCCGAUUGCGAAGGCAGCCUACUAAACUGCCACUGACAUUGAUGCUCGAAAGUGUGGGUAUCAAACAGGAUUAGAUACCCCUGUAGUC
RNAcentral lists this ribosomal RNA (460 nucleotides) under uncultured bacterium. Its description in RNAcentral is "partial 16S ribosomal RNA". It matches the Rfam family "Bacterial small subunit ribosomal RNA", at positions 338 to 795 of the family's 1533-position model. The record is from RNAcentral.